GACGAACGCUGGCGGCGUGCUUAACACAUGCAAGUCGAACGGAAAUGCCCUGCUUUUGUGGGGUGCUCGCGUGGCGAACGGGUGAGUAACACGUGAGUAACCUUCCCUUUACUUUGGGAUAACUUCAGGAAACUGGGGCUAAUACCGGAUAGUAGCUCCUGCUGCAUGGUGGGGGUUGGAAAGUUUCGGCGGUUGGGGAUGGACUCGCGGCUUAUCAGCUUGUUGGUGGGGUAGUGGCUUACCAAGGCUUUGACGGGUAGCCGGCCUGAGAGGGUGACCGGCCACAUUGGGACUGAGAUACGGCCCAGAAUCCUACGGGAGGCAGCAGUGGGGAAUAGUGCAAAAUGGGCGGAAGCCUGAUGCAGCAACGCCGCGUGCGGGAUGAAGGCCUUCGGGUUGUAAACCGCUUUCGCCUGUGACGAAGCGUGAGUGACGGUAAUGGGUAAAGAAGCACCGGCUAACUACGUG
This 468-nucleotide ribosomal RNA is filed under the name uncultured bacterium. Its description in RNAcentral is "partial 16S ribosomal RNA". It matches the Rfam family "Bacterial small subunit ribosomal RNA", at positions 28 to 507 of the family's 1533-position model. The record is from RNAcentral.